UGCAGUCGAGCGCGCCCUUCGGGGUGAGCGGCGGACGGGUUAGUAACGCGUGGGAACAUACCCUUUUCUACGGAAUAGCCUCUGGAAACGGAGAGUAAUACCGUAUGAGCCCUUCGGGGGAAAGAUUUAUCGGGAAAGGAUUGGCCCGCGUUAGAUUAGGUAGUUGGUGGGGUAAUGGCCUACCAAGCCUACGAUCUAUAGCUGGUUUUAGAGGAUGAUCAGCAACACUGGGACUGAGACACGGCCCAGACUCCUACGGGAGGCAGCAGUGGGGAAUCUUGGACAAUGGGGGCAACCCUGAUCCAGCCAUGCCGCGUGAGUGAUGAAGGCCUUAGGGUCGUAAAGCUCUUUCGCCUGUGAAGAUAAUGACGGUAGCAGGUAAAGAAACCCCGGCUAACUCCGUGCCAGCAGCCGCGGUAAUACGGAGGGGGUUAGCGUUGUUCGGAAUUACUGGGCGUAAAGCGCACGUAGGCGGACUGGAAAGUAUGGGGUGAAAUCCCAGGGCUCAACCCUGGAACUGCCUCAUAAACUAUCAGUCUAGAGUUCGAGAGAGGUGAGUGGAAUUCCAAGUGUAGAGGUGAAAUUCGUAGAUAUUUGGAGGAACACCAGUGGCGAAGGCGGCUCACUGGCUCGAUACUGACGCUGAGGUGCGAAAGUGUGGGGAGCAAACAGGAUUAGAUACCCUGGUAGUCCACACCGUAAACGAUGAAUGCCAGUCGUCGGGUAGCAUGCUAUUCGGUGACACACCUAACGGAUU
Molecule: ribosomal RNA, 757 nt
Filed under: Ruegeria sp. AU99B_Ted2_MB
Lineage: Bacteria; Pseudomonadati; Pseudomonadota; Alphaproteobacteria; Rhodobacterales; Roseobacteraceae
Description: bacterial SSU rRNA
Rfam family: Bacterial small subunit ribosomal RNA
Source: RNAcentral